RNAcentral lists this long non-coding RNA (265 nucleotides) under Eucalyptus grandis. RNAcentral describes it as "long non-coding RNA (EGRA_LNC003239)". The record is from RNAcentral. Lineage: Eukaryota; Viridiplantae; Streptophyta; Magnoliopsida; Myrtales; Myrtaceae.
AUCUCGGUCCUCAUCCGGGUCGUACUCGAUGUCAUACUCGGGGUUCUCCUCCACGUACUCCUCUUCAGGUUCCUCAACAAGGAUCUCCUUGUCAGAUUCAUGCUCUUUAAGCUCCUCAUCCAGGUCCUGAAAUGGUUAUUCAAUAACCACUGAGACAACGUCUCAGCAAGUUCUACCUCCUAAGACCCGAUUAGUAAACUAAUACACCUUAGGGCUGCCUACGCACAACAUGAGUCAGAGGACUUACCUUAGCCUCAGAUUCCAC